AUUGAACGCUGGCGGCAGGACUAACACAUGCAAGUCGAACGAGUGGCGGACGGGUGAGUAAUGUCUGGGAAACUGCCUGAUGGAGGGGGAUAACUACUGGAAACGGUAGCUAAUACCGCAUACCAUCGGAUGUGCCCAGAUGGGAUUAGCUAGUCGGUGGGGUAAAGGCUCACCUAGGCGACGAUCCCUAGGUGGUCUGAGAGGAUGACCAGCCACACUGGAACUGAGCCACGUUCCAGACUCCUACGGGAGGCAGCAGGGGGGAAUAUUGCACAAUGGGGGCAAGCCUUCUGCAGCCAUGCCGCGUGUAUUAAGAAGGCCUUCGGGUUGUAUAGUACUUUCAGCAGGGAGACGUUACCCGCAGAAGAAGCACCGGCUAACUCCGUGCCAGCCGCCGCGGUAAUAC
Molecule: ribosomal RNA, 406 nt
Filed under: uncultured bacterium
Lineage: Bacteria
Description: partial 16S ribosomal RNA
Rfam family: Bacterial small subunit ribosomal RNA
Source: RNAcentral